GGGGCCAUAGCUCACUUGGUAGAGCGCUUGCAUGGCAUGCAAGAGGUAGGCGGUUCGAUCCCGCCUGGCUCCACCA
This 76-nucleotide transfer RNA is filed under the name Magnetococcales bacterium. RNAcentral's name for it is "tRNA-Ala". It matches the Rfam family "tRNA". From Rfam's summary of the family: Transfer RNA (tRNA) molecules are approximately 80 nucleotides in length. Their secondary structure includes four short double-helical elements and three loops (D, anti-codon, and T loops). Further hydrogen bonds mediate the characteristic L-shaped molecular structure. tRNAs have two regions of fundamental functional importance: the anti-codon, which is responsible for specific mRNA codon recognition, and the 3' end, to which the tRNAs corresponding amino acid is attached (by aminoacyl-tRNA synthetases). tRNAs cope with the degeneracy of the genetic code in two manners: having more than one tRNA (with a specific anti-codon) for a particular amino acid; and 'wobble' base-pairing, i.e. permitting non-standard base-pairing at the 3rd anti-codon position. The record is from RNAcentral. Lineage: Bacteria; Pseudomonadati; Pseudomonadota; Magnetococcia; Magnetococcales.